Long non-coding RNA from Mesocricetus auratus (golden hamster), 1193 nucleotides. RefSeq lists it as uncharacterized. The record is from RefSeq and is a predicted model, not a curated record. The transcript has 2 exons. NCBI's taxonomy places the organism in Eukaryota, Metazoa, Chordata, Mammalia, Rodentia, Cricetidae.
CAUCAAUGACGUCUGCAUCAGCUCCUGCCUCCAGGUUCCCGUCCCGAUUUUCUCCAAUGAUGAAAAGUACCAUGGAAGUAUAAGUCAAAUGAAUCCUUUCCUCCCCAAAGUUGUUUUUGAUCAUGGUGUUUCAUCAUAGCAAUAAUGACUUUAACUAAGUUAUUCAGGCCUACUGGACAGCAACUGGGUCUUGAGACUGUGAGAAGUAAGGAGAGGCCCUUGGUAAGGGUGCAACUUCAGUUUCAGUAGAAGCCCAAGGAUUGAAGAGACUGUGGAGAGAAGUUGAUUGGCCCAACAUGUCUGGGUCAGAGUCCCUAAGAAGAAGAUGUUGGUAACGAUGCAGUCCAGUUUAAAUAGAAACUCCAGCACUUUGUAGACGCCUGGACCAUGGGAUGAAAGCCAAGGACAGCAGCAGUUAUGAAGUAGAGGUGGCCUGAGCCUACAAGACAAACUGUGGGAAUGGUGCCCUUGGAGCUCAGAAGGCGGACCUCCCAACUCCUGAUUCUGAACUUUCACAGUUUGAUUUUCUUUGAUCUGAUUGUAACUGUACCAUGGUCUUCCUUUAUGUGUUAAGAAGAAUUUAAUAAAAAGAAAGAAAGAAGGAAAGGAGGGAAGAAAAAAAGAAAGAGAAAGAAAGAAAGGAGGGAGGGAGGAGGGAGGGAAAACUUAAUGGUUAGCAGGACACAGACCCACAUCCUCUGCUUCGAGGUUUCUGUGUGAGAGGGGAUUUGUACAUGUGUGGGAAUAGGCUUGCCUGCAUGGGUGCAUAUGGAGGCCAGAGGCAUCGAGUUAGGGCAGCUUUGUCAACCACUUUUCACCUCUGAGUUUUGAGACCGGAUCUGUUCACAGAUUCAGCUGGACUGGCUGUCUAGUAAGCUCCAGGGAUUUGUCCGUGUCUGCUUCCAUCGUUCCGAGGUUAGAGUCAUGCUGCCUGACCUGGCUUGGGUGUAGGUGCUGGGUAGGCCUAGAUGCUAGGUGUCUGAAUUCAGGUCCUCCUGCUUCUGCAGCAAGCACUCCCCACGUGGAGCACAUUCCAAGACCCGGAUUCUUGUUCUCAACACCUUUCAUCCUAGUAUAAGUUUCAGUGCAAACCUUGUAAUAUAUUUUGCACAAAUUCUUAAAUGUUUAAGCUUUUAAGCUUGAAUGAAGAGCAUGUUGUUGCCUAAUACAAAUGGGAUUUUGUUUAAAACACA